This 301-nucleotide ribosomal RNA is filed under the name uncultured bacterium. RNAcentral's name for it is "partial 16S ribosomal RNA". It matches the Rfam family "Bacterial small subunit ribosomal RNA", at positions 509 to 809 of the family's 1533-position model. The record is from RNAcentral.
CAGUCGCCGCGGGAAUACGAAGGGGGCUAGCGUUGCUCGGAAUUACUGGGCGUAAAGGGCGCGUAGGCGGACAGUUCAGUCGGGGGUGAAAGCCCGGGGCUCAACCUCGGAAUUGCCUUCGAUACUGGCUGUCUUGAGUAUGAGAGAGGUGUGUGGAACUCCGAGUGUAGAGGUGAAAUUCGUAGAUAUUCGGAAGAACACCAGUGGCGAAGGCGACACACUGGCUCAUUACUGACGCUGAGGCGCGAAAGCGUGGGGAGCAAACAGGAUUAGAUACCCCCGUAGUCCCUGUCUCUUAUAA